This 253-nucleotide ribosomal RNA is filed under the name uncultured bacterium. RNAcentral's name for it is "partial 16S ribosomal RNA". It matches the Rfam family "Bacterial small subunit ribosomal RNA", at positions 524 to 776 of the family's 1533-position model. The record is from RNAcentral.
AACGUAGGGGGCAAGCGUUGCCCGGAUUCACUGGGCGUAAAGCGGGUGUAGGCGGUCCUCUAAGUCAGAUGUGAAAUCCUACGGCUCAACCGUGGAACUGCAUCUGAUACUGGAGGACUUGAGGACGGUAGAGGUCGGUGGAAUCCCCGGUGUACCGGUGAAAUGGGCAGAUAUCGGGGGGAACACCAGUGGCGAAGGCGGCCGACUGGGCCGAUCCUGACGCUGAGACGCGAAAGCGUGGGUAGCAAACAGG